UAGGGAAUCUUCCACAAUGGGCGCAAGCCUGAUGGAGCAACGCCGCGUGAGUGAAGAAGGUCUUCGGAUCGUAAAACUCUGUUGUUAGAGAAGAACAUGCAGGAGAGUAACUGUUCUUGUAUUGACGGUAUCUAACCAGAAAGCCACGGCCAACUACGUGCCAA
RNAcentral lists this ribosomal RNA (164 nucleotides) under uncultured bacterium. RNAcentral's name for it is "partial 16S rRNA". It matches the Rfam family "Bacterial small subunit ribosomal RNA", at positions 355 to 511 of the family's 1533-position model. The record is from RNAcentral.